RNAcentral lists this long non-coding RNA (546 nucleotides) under Homo sapiens (human). RNAcentral describes it as "non-protein coding lnc-RFLNB-4:2". Lineage: Eukaryota; Metazoa; Chordata; Mammalia; Primates; Hominidae. The record is from RNAcentral.
AGAGACUACAGGUCAAUGGAGGUGGGGCACAGGGACUGCAGGUCAAUGGAGGUGGAGCACAGGCACUGCAGGUCAAUGGAGGUGGAGUACAGGGACUACAGGUCAAUGGAGGUGGAGCACAGGGACUAAAGGUCAAUGGAGGUGGGGCACAGGGACUACACGUCAGUGGAGAUGGAGUCACAGGGACUACAGGUCAAUGGAGGUGGGGGCACAGGGACUACAGGUCAAUGGAGGUGGAGCACAGAGACUACAGGUCAAUGGAGGUGGGGUCACAGGGACUACAAUUCAGUGGAGGUGGAGCACAGGGACUACAGUUCAGUGGAGGUGGAGCACAGAGACUACAGGUCAAUGGAGGUGGGGCACAGGGACUACAGGUCAAUGGAGGUGGAGCACAGAGACUACAGGUCAAUGGACGUGGAGUACAGGGACUACAGGUCAAUGGAGGUGGGGUCACAGAGACUACAGGUCAAUGGAGGUGGAGCACAGAGACUACAGGUCAGUGGAGGUGGAGCACAGAGACUACAGGUCAAUGGAGGUGGAGUCACA